CUCAAUGCGGAUAUUAAUGCUUGUGGUAAACAAUCAAUAGAAAAAUUCCCCUUUCCUUCCCAAGUCAUGAUGCAGUUAUUCAUUUCAGCCGCUUCAUCAAUUGUCUUCGCCUCUAUAACUACGCACUAAAGAUGAAUAAAGUUGCCGUGUGUAUUUGUGUUGCAUUUGUAUGCAGUGGAACGUUUGCUGUGAACCCGCAUAGUGUUUCUAAUACCACUCUACGGUCGAAGUUUCCAGAUAUUCACUGUACAGAGCCACCCGUACAGGAGCUUUUCAGUCAGCUUGCUCAAAUUUACCAGUUCAAACCAGGUACGACGUCUGAUAUAUCAAAGUACACUGCAAAAAAUGACGACGAAUGUCCAAAAAAUGCAGAUACGUUGUGCCCUUAUCAUUUAGAGAAUAUCGAAGACCCGGAUCGUGUGCCGUCAACCCUCUCGACUGCUCGGUGUCUGUGUAAAUCGUGUCGGGAUGAAUAUCAAGAUUGUGCGGUAGGCCUAGGCUGUACGCCGAUAACGCGAAUUGCCACAGUAUUACGUAAGACUGGACAAUGCAAAUCUGGAGUUUUCCUGUAUAAACCCGUUGAUGAAACCAUACCAGUGGCAUGCACAUGCGCUAAGGGAUCAUCAGGAUGAAUGUUAAUGCUACACAACGUGCUUUGAUAUGAGACUGUGCUUGCCGAACUAUCUAUUAUCCCAAUCCUAAUCAUGUAUGAAAAAAAGUGUGGUAUGAUACAGAAAUAACUCAUACUCUACACAUGAACAUUCCAACUAGAGAUUUACUGCUGUGCGAAAGUGCAAGUUCAAUGAGUACAAACAAAUAAGAACAACUUGACUACCACGGAAUUUCCAUAAUAUAUGCCUACGAAAUAUUUCCAACACAUAAUGUAAGCCGGCCGUUUUUUUCCACGAUGGGUCAUCAGCUUUCGAAAUCGAGUGAUAGAAUCCGACUAAAGGGAGGACAAUUUGUCAGUUACUGCACAUUUUAGAAAGGAGAUCAUGGGAUUCUAAGCCAGUUAGAUCGAUAUUUAAGAUAUCGUUUUUUCAUACAUGCAGCGAUAAUUCGACGAAAUCCCAGCAUUCAAUCAGUAACACCACCGGUAGAUGCUUUUGAUGUUUUUGGGGUUGAUUGUAUUUUUUGUUCGUAUCUAUUAUGUUCUAAUUAGAUUAUCCCAAUAUAAAACUCUCAUGUUUAACUGUUAAUUUCAACGAAAAAAAAUUGUGCCUGUGGCCAUUUCUUGGCAUGUUAUCUUAGGUAAAGCUUUUAGAUACAGUUGUUUAUGGGUAUCAAAUUCUGAAACAAAAAAUGAAUGAUUAACUACACGGUUAAACUAUGGACCUAUUAAUUAUUAAUAGGUCCAUGGCUAAACAAUAUAAAUUGAUCCAUAAACCUGUAGUACGUUAGACACAUAGUAUUAAAGAAUUAUUACUCUUCUUUCAUUAUAUAUUUAUAAUAUAUAUAGUAUAUAUGUAUAUAUAUAGUAUAUAUAUUAUAUAUGCGUAUAUAUAUAUAUAUAGUUUGAUAUGGUAAACAACAAAGUAUACUACGUAGACCUGUCCGAUAUUAUAUAUAUCUAAAUGAUAAUUAUUUAAUUGAACGCUCCAUUAUUUAAUAUAAAAUAUUUAAAUAAAGAUGAUUUUAUAUUUAUGAAGAAAACAUAGUUAUAUAAUUUUGAAGAUUUUGUUAGUUUUGUGCGAACGUAAAAAUGUAGAGGUAUUCCAAUAUCGAUCGAUGCCUUAUUUUGAAUAAAAUAAUCAUUAAAAUGUUAUUGUAGAA
Molecule: long non-coding RNA, 1773 nt
Filed under: Anneissia japonica
Lineage: Eukaryota; Metazoa; Echinodermata; Crinoidea; Comatulida; Comatulidae
Description: uncharacterized LOC117122718
Source: RNAcentral